GCUCGUAGGCGGUUUGUUGCGUCGGCUGUGAAAACCCGGGCUCAACUGUGGGCUUGCAGCCGAUACGGGCAGGCUUGAGUUCGGUAGGGGAGACUGGAAUUCCUGGUGUAGCGGUGAAAUGCGCAGAUAUCAAGAGGAACACCGGUGGCGAAUGCGGGUCUCUGGGCCGAUACUGACGCUGAGGAGCGAAAGCGUGGGGAGCGAACAGGAUUAAAUACCCUGGUAGUCCACGCUGUAAACGUUGGGCGCUAGGUGUGGGGGGCCUCUCUGGUUCUCUGUGGAGCAUCUAACGCAUUAAGCGCCCCGCCUGGGGAGUACGGCCGCUAGGCUAAAUCUCAAAGGAAGUGAGGGGGGCCCCCACAAGCGGCAGAACAUGCUGAUUAUUUCGAUGCAACGCAAAGAACCUUACCUGGCUUUGAUAUGGGCGGUAAUCCGGCAAAGAUGUCGGGUCCUUCGGGGCCUUUCACAGGUGGUGCAUGGCUGUCGUCAGCUCGUGUCGUGAGAUGUUGGGUUAAGUCCCGCAACUAGCGCAACCCUCGUUCGAUGUU
This 548-nucleotide ribosomal RNA is filed under the name uncultured bacterium. Its description in RNAcentral is "bacterial SSU rRNA". It matches the Rfam family "Bacterial small subunit ribosomal RNA", at positions 567 to 1116 of the family's 1533-position model. The record is from RNAcentral.